AGAGUUUGAUCAUGGCUCAGAUUGAACGCUGGCGGUAGGCUUAACACAUGCAAGUCGUGCGAGAAAGUACCUUCGGGUGCGAGUAGAGCGGCGGACGGGUGAGUAACGCGUAGGAAUCUACCUAGUAGAAGGGGAUAGCCCGGGGAAACUCGGAUUAAUACCGUAUACCUCCUAAGGGAGAAAGAGGGCUUAGCUUUGAUGCUCUCGCUAUUAGAUGAGCCUGCGUAAGAUUAGCUUGUUGGUGAGGUAAUGGCUCACCAAGGCGACGAUCUUUAGCUGGUCUGAGAGGACGAUCAGCCACAUUGGGACUGAGACACGGCCCAGACUCCUACGGGAGGCAGCAGUGGGGAAUAUUGGACAAUGGGCGCAAGCCUGAUCCAGCCAUACCGCGUGUGUGAAGAAGGCUUUCGGGUUGUAAAGCACUUUAAGUAAGGAGGAAAAGAUUGUAGUUAAUACCUGCAAUCCGUGACGUUACUUACAGAAUAAGGACCGGCUAAUUCCGUGCCAGCAGCCGCGGUAAUACGGAAGGUCCAAGCGUUAAUCGGAAUUACUGGGCGUAAAGCGCGCGUAGGUGGUUUUUUAAGUUGGAUGUGAAAGCCCUGGGCUCAACCUAGGAACUGCAUCCAAAACUAGAUGACUAGAGUACGAAAGAGGGAAGUAGAAUUCACAGUGUAGCGGUGGAAUGCGUAGAUAUUGUGAAGAAUACCAAUGGCGAAGGCAGCUUCCUGGUUUCUGUACUGACACUGAGGUGCGAAAGCGUGGGUAGCGAACAGGAUUAGAUACCCUGNUAGUCCACGCCGUAAACGAUGACAACUAGCUGUUGGGAGACAGAUCUCUCAGUGCGCAGCUAACGCUUUNAGUUGUCCGCCUGGGNGUACGGCGCAAGGU
Molecule: ribosomal RNA, 888 nt
Filed under: uncultured bacterium
Lineage: Bacteria
Description: bacterial SSU rRNA
Rfam family: Bacterial small subunit ribosomal RNA
Source: RNAcentral